AUUUUGGAUAAUAAAAGUAAAGUUGGAACUGAGCGACACGCGACAACUGUAGACGACGUGUCGUUGCGACAUUGCU
Molecule: long non-coding RNA, 76 nt
Organism: Aricia agestis (brown argus)
Lineage: Eukaryota; Metazoa; Arthropoda; Insecta; Lepidoptera; Lycaenidae
Exons: 3
Source: RefSeq, a predicted model, not a curated record